ACAUGUAGAAAAAAAUCCUUGAAAUUCUUACAUGUUGGUUUUCAUGAUUGGUAAUGCUAAUCUAGAACAUUUAAAAAGAUGUAUAGUAUAAUUGCUAUAAAUGUGCAAAUUUUAAGUAUUUAAAAUACUACUCGAGGUCGCGUAGUUUGAAGCAGGGAACAUGUAACGAUAUGGGUUUUUGGGUUUAAAAUAAUGAAUAAUUCAUAAGGAGCAUGAAUAAUGCAAUGUUAUUUUCUGGCUGUUCCUUUUAGUGUACUUACCCCGCCAGCCUAAUUGCCCUAGUUAACAAGUUUGGACAUAUGUUCGUCGACAUUUAGGUCAUUUGAUAAUUCUAUCUUGAGAAUGAUUAUUUGGUAACAGUAUGUCAUCAUCAUUGUCAGUAAUCAAAGUCAACACUCCUUCUGAGUCAAUUUUAUGCGCGACGAGGGGUUGUGGUCAUUGCAUUACGGUAAGAGCGCUACCGCUCACAUGGUUUGUCCUCUUGCGAGCGGGCCGUGAAAGAAGCUCAGACCGAGCCAACCUUUGUCUAAAAGUCGCCCACUUUUCCCUCAUUUUUGGGCUGAGACAUUGCUGUCACAAGCUUUGAAGGUUGACAUCUCAAGUGCAUUACAGGCCUUCUCUAUUUUAUAUCAGGGGUCUUCUUUUAUGGUCUUCAUUGUCGUCUUAUUGGAAUCUUUGUUCGGAUCUUCAUUUGGAUUAUUUUGUAUAAUUGGAGAAAGUGAAUUAAAUUAAAACUUAAUCAAGUGAAUCAGUGUAAACAACCGUCUGAGUGUUCCAGUUCAAUUCUACUUGCUUUCCACCUUACUCUAUCUUCAUGAGGGUGAACCUGACCACCCUUAUCAUCGU
Patiria miniata (bat star) is the source of this 846-nucleotide long non-coding RNA. RefSeq lists it as uncharacterized. The record is from RefSeq and is a predicted model, not a curated record. Lineage: Eukaryota; Metazoa; Echinodermata; Asteroidea; Valvatida; Asterinidae. The transcript is spliced from 3 exons.